UACGUAGGGUGCAGGCGUUAAUCGGAAUUACUGGGCGUAAAGCGUGCGCAGGCGGUUUGCUAAGACAGGUGUGAAAUCCCCGGGCUUAACCUGGGAACUGCGCUUGUUACUGGCAGGCUUGAGUGUGGCAGAGGGGGGUGGAAUUCCACGUGUAGCAGUGAAAUGCGUAGAGAUGCGGAGGAACACCGAUGGCGAAGGCAGCCUCCUGGGAUAACACUGACGCUCAUGCACGAAAGCGUGGGGAGCAAACAGG
Molecule: ribosomal RNA, 253 nt
Filed under: uncultured bacterium
Lineage: Bacteria
Description: partial 16S ribosomal RNA
Rfam family: Bacterial small subunit ribosomal RNA
Source: RNAcentral